CAAGCUCAGGAGGAGCUCGUUGAAGAUCUUGCCCUUUGUGUUGUUUCGUUCUAGUUGAUCAGUAGUGGAGCCCAGUUGGGGUCGAUCGGGGACCUUUGUCGCAUUUGGGGUUCUUCUUUUAUUUUGGUUCCGUAGCCGGACCUUGAUUGUAUCUGGAUGAUGUAAUGCUUUAUUCAUGUAAUUGUGUGAAGUGGCGAUUGUAAGCCAACUAUGUAUCUCUUUCCCUUAUGUAUUACAUGGGUUGUGUGAAGAUUACCUCACUUGCGACAUUGCCUUCAAUGCGGUUAUGCCUCUAAGUCGUGCUUCGACACGUGGGAGAUAUAGCCGCAUCGAGGGCGUUACAAGUUGGGUAUCAGAGCCUUCCCCGACCUUAGGAGCCCCACUGCUUGAUCGUUUUUAGCGGCCGAGUUGUGUCUAGAAAAAUAUUUUGAGUCAUUUAGGAUUAUAUAUAUCGGAGAGUUAGGAAUUCUUUUUACUCCCCAGUCUCUUCAUCGCUCUGGUAAGGCAUCCUGACGUAGAGUUUUGACUCUUCUCUUCUCAAAUUUCACUAAAUUUUUUUUUAGGAUCACGCGGGUAUCUUGGAAUCGUUCCGAUGGUUUUAUGAUGAGAACAUUGUCUUGGUGCCUCCUGUCAGGGGUUUUGUGGAAGUGUCCCGGGGAGUUGAGCUCUGAGGUGUUGUCAUCAUAAUUUUAUCGUUGUAGUUCUGGAAUACCUGAGUUUAGUACGCCGACAUCGAAAAUCUCUUUUAUGCAGUUGUUGGUGAGAUAACCCCGAUAACCCAGUACUGAGGUGAGUACGGGAGUAUCGCCAUAACUUGUAUAACGGAUGCUUUUCGAAGGUUGAGGUAGAUGAUUUCCGAAGGUUUCUUGGUUAUGUGUUGAAGGAUGGAUACAGCUGGAUGUAGGAUUUGCUAGUUUGGGUGAGAUAUUAUGCUUCCCCUGUAUCCCCAACACCUGAUUGCAUAACCGGAAAAUUUCGGGAGUUUCAUAGGUGGGAAUUCAAGUAGCUCUUAGGAUAUCUUUUCGACAGAUGUAUGAUAUGAAAUUGGGGUUCGACGUCUAGUGGUCCGCCUAUUCACGGUCGUUUUUACAGUGGUCUCGUUGUGUCUUAAAGAGUCCUUGGCUAUGCCGACUCGGGGACGCUUCGUAUGUCAUGUGCACUGCCUUGUACAUGAUGGUGCUGUACGAUCGAGCCCGUGUAGGCCCCACCACGAAAACUUCGGACGAAAUCUCUAUCAUAUGUUUGUUCUGGCUUAUUUUGCAAGCCAAUCCUUUGUUUUGUUUUGAGUUGUGGUAUUCGAGUUGCUUCGAAGUCAAAUGUUGAUUCCAUACCUUUUCCAAAUGGUGUUCUCAUAUUCCUAUGUGAAUACUAAUCCUUCUUGAUCAUCGAGUCUGUCUUGUCAAUCCUUUUUUUUAACCAGUGUGUCUCUCUUCAAGUGGAUCCGAUCAUUCUCCCCAUCCGCAAGAUCAAUUCUAAGUUUUUCUCAACGGUGUUCAUUCCAACUGCCCCAAGUUGCCUUUGUUUUUCCCGCCCUCCCACCCUUUUUGUUCAAGGACUCAGAUAUCUUAAUCAUGUAUCCUUUUAUUGAUGGGAAGUCUCUCCAUUCUUUUCCGUCAAUAUUCUUAUCCGGUGAUUCUCACGUAUAUUCUAACGGAGCUUCAAGUUCAUCACUCUUCACUCGUUUUCUUCUCCGGUGGAUUUAAUUCAAGCUUUGGUAUUAAGCAUACUCCUUUUCUUUUUUUUCCAAUGUUUUUCUUAUGCCGGUGCGCCUCUUAAUCAUCCAUCUCUCGCUAUUAAAUUGUUCCGGAGUGCUCAAGAUAUCUCGAAUAUUCGUGUUUCCACUCUGCAUUCGUUCAAGCUCUUUCGAGAUUGGUAUCUCAUUCAAGUCAUUUAAUUCAACCGGUGCAACAUCUCUUUUAAAUCUUUUCAACGGUGUUUUUUUGAGUGGGCCCUAACCCACAGGUCUUUUCCCAGGAUCUUACCUGACUCUUCUAUUUUCCCAGAGCUAUCCUAAAUUCUUCUCCAAGUUUGACGUAAGAAUGAGUUAUCAUUAGUCAAAUGCUUUUCUCCAAGAUCUUUCAAAUUCUAUUCAUAGUUGGCUCAACCUCUUCGCUUUUGAUUCUUCCGGUGUGCCUCAAUAAUUCUUGGUGGUGUUUCUCGUUGUCAUUCUCAUCAUUUGAAGACCGAAGAAGAGUUUCUCUUUAAUCUUGCUCUAUUCUCUUCAAGAUUCUUGGUGCUAACUUGAUGCCAUCCUCUCAUAGUUGUUUUCGAUUGUCAGAAUUCUUUUCACUCAUCCGGAGUAAUUCAGAGUAUUUUUUCUGUCAGAUUAUCCGGAGCCCAUCGUCUAAGAUUGACUCAGUCCAGCUUUCAGCUCGCAUACUCUAAAUCAUACUGGUGCUUCGUUCAAGUGAUCUUUAAUCGGCUCGUGAUCUCGUCGUUCUCAUGUAUCUAAAUCCUCUCAAGCAUCUUCGUGUAUUUGCUAAUUCUUCCCGGUGUCUUCCUUAUCUUUUCUUUGUUCAUUUUUAAUUCUUACCGUGGUUCUUUCAAGAUCUCUCUUCCUUGUUCAUCAUAUCAAUUCAUUUGUUGUUCCAAUCCUACCGGUGGUUCGUUCAAGAGUUUUCUUCCUUCGUGUAUCAUAUCUAUGCAUUCGUACUUUCUAAAUUCUACCGGUGGAUCGUUGAAGACUUUCUCAAGUUUACGCCAUAUCUCUCUUAAUCCUUUCUACAAGAAUAAGUAGUAUGCCAAAUCCGUUGCUUGUCAUCAAUUUAAAUUGGUGAAGGAUACGCAUAACAUAAUUCUUAUUCUGGUUUCAUCCAAGUGAUUAAUCCUUUCCUUCAGAGUUUGUCCAGGAGGAAUAAAUUCUUGGCUUCUUGUUGUUCAUCUUUCUUCCGGAGUUCUAAGUUUUCCGCAUUAUCUCGUCGCGAAGCUCCAUCUAAAUCAUCGCAAGGCUUCACCUUGUGUUUUCAACUUCUCUUUCUUUUUUAUCAUCCUUUUAUUACCGGAGUUCUUCAUGGAGGCUCUACAUGAUGGUUCAUCAAGGAUUUAUAUUUCUUCUUGAAGUGUUCAUCGAGAUUCUUUUCUAAGAAACUCAAGCAUUCUUCAUCUUGCUAUCCGGAGUGCAAUUUCUUUCUACCGUAUCUUUGGAGGUGGUAUUAUGUCCUUCUUGAUAAUUCCCCUUCGUUGCUUCGUGAUUCACAAGUUUUCAAGAGUGACUUAUUUAAAUCCAUCUUUUUCUCUUUGUUCAAGAGAUCUUUUCAACCGUCAAUCUCUUCAUUGGAGUUAUCUUGGUAUAGAUUUCACCUAAAGCCUUCCCUAAGGAAUGUUGCUAUUUGGUGCUUAUUAAUGACCCAAGUUAUCUCUUUUCCAUCUUGAUGGAACAAGUUUUCAUCUCUUCGUUAAUCUCAAGCAAGUAAUUGUUCCGUUAGUGGCCGGUUGUCACCUCAUAAUGUUGAGAUGUUUCCAUAAGCCCAUAUCAAGAUUAUUCUUUUCGUUGUUGGUUUUCAACAACUCCAUUCUAGCAUUUGUUGUAUCCGUGAUCUCUCAAGAUCUUGUUUCCCUUCGUUCCGGAGUCAUUGUGAUGUUGCUCUUUUCAACCCAUCAUCUCGUUUGUCAAAGAUCAUGUUCUUUUCGUGCUUAUCCAUUUAACCAGAGUGUCGUGUCCUCUGCUCAAGUUCUUUUCAUCUUAUCUGGUCUUGUAUCACUUUUCAACCGGAGUGCUGCCCGAAUUUGGUCUUCCUUGAUCCCCUUCCUUAACCGGAGUGGUUCCAAUAUAUAUCUUCCCUUCAACCUCAAGGUUUCGCAAUGCUCUUUGUCCCUAGUUUCUAACGGAGUGUUUUCGACUUUGUUCUCCUUCGUUCUAUUCUUUUCUCGAAUUAGUUCAACCUCGCAAGGUUCUUUGGUUUCACUCGUUCGUCAAAGGAGCAACUUAGUUUUACCUAUCCUCUCUUUCUCUUCCGUUGUCCCUCCGGUGCCAUUCUAGAUCUCGGGACGAGAUCCUCUCAUAGUGGUGGAGUGUUGUAACGCCCCGAGACCGAUGUGCCAGGUGUCGUUCAGUUAGUCGCCGUCGUUGCCAUGUCAUUUGCUUGCGUGUUGCAUUUUAUCAUGUCAUCAUGCGCAUUUCAUUUGCAUACAUGUUCGUCUCAUGCAUCCGAGUUUUUUCCCCGUUGUCCGUUUUGCAAUCCGGCGUUCCGUUCUCCUCCGGUGGUCAUUUCUACCUUUCUUUCUUGUGUGGGGAUUAAACAUUUCUGGAUUGGACCGAGACUUGUCAAGCGGCCUUGGUUUACUACCGGUAGACCGCCUGUCAAGUUUCGUACCAUUUGGACUUCGUUUGAUACUCCAACGGUUAACCGAGGGACCGAAAAGGCCUCGUGUGUGUUGCAGCCCAACACCCCCCAAAUUUGGCCCAAAACCCACCUAACUCUGCUCCAUCAUCUCGGUCGUUCGAUCACGAUCGCGUGGUCGAAAACCGCACCUCAUUUGGAGCUUCCUAGCUCCCUCUACCUAUAAAAGAGCACCCCUCCCCGAAAUUUCGGAUCAUUUCGCAGUCUAAACCCUAGAUCCACUCCUCCCCGCGCCACCGGACGCGUCCGCGCUGCACCAGACAUGUCCGCCCCCGCGCGCCACCUCACUCCAGCCAAUGGGGGCGAGCCACGUCAGCUCCGCCGCCCCUCUCCUCCACUCACCGCGCGCCACGUCAACGCCCAGCCUCCCCACUUCGCCGCUGGGCCCGGAGAGCCCGCAACCGGCCCCCGCGGCCCAUCCAUCGCCGCCGCCCGAACCCACGGGGAGACCAGAUCCGCACCGCCCGGUCCUCCCUUGCACCGCCGCACGCCGUCUCGACGCCGGCCGCCCGCCGACGCCGCUCGCCGCCUCGCGCCCUGCCCGGCCCCGGCCACCGUUGAGCUCGCCGGAUGCCGCCCCGUCGCCCUUCGCUUCCCACCGUCGUCCCGGAGCGCAGCGGCCUCCAUCCGACCCCAGGGAGGAGCCCCGGUGCCGCCCGCCCCAAGAUCCAGCGCCGCCGCCUCGGUUCCUGCCGUCCCCGUCGCCGGAGUUCCCGGUGCGCCGUCGCCGCCAUGGAUCGGGAACCAGAGCCCCGAUCUGCUCCCUCCGUUGACCGCGCCCGCGUGGGCCGGCCCAAUCAUCCUCGCCGGCCCAACGCAGCCCCCGCCUUCGGCCCAGCUCCCCGCGGUCCAGCGCGAGCGCCCCAAGGCCCAGCUCCAGCCGGCCUCGCCUUGGCCUGCCUCCUCCUCCAGCCGGGCCGAAGCCCACUGGGUGAGCCGCCACCCGCCCCACCUUGUUUUUUUUCCAUUCCUCUGGUUGGGCUGCCCAGUGCUCCAGUUCCUGUUUCGGCCCGCCUCGUUUUUUUUCCGUCCUGGGAAUUUGUCUAUUAUCCUCAGUUUGUCAGUUUUACAGUUUAGACCCUCAUGUUCAUGCAUUUAAUAACUCACAAACCGUGCGUUGGAUUAAAAUGUUUUAUAUAUGAAACUUGCUCAAAAUUUUGUGUAGAUUAAUAAUAUCCAACUUUCAUCCAUAUUUAAAAUGUUAAAAAUGCUGUUUGCAUUAAUUUGCUCCUAUGCCAUGCUAAAAUGCUUUAUUUCAUAACUAAAUAACCGUAACUCCAAUUUUAAUAAACUUUAUAUGUAAAUGGGGUAGAAUUUUGCCUAGUUUAUCAUGGUGGCCUUACUUUGCAUGUUUAACAACUCUAAAACAUUGUUUAGGGCAGAACAGUACCAAACCUAAUUUAUGCUCAUAAGGAGUUUCCAGAAUUGUUGUUCGUUGCUUCCGGCCUCAUUUAAACUUGCCUAGAUAGGUAGUUUUGUUGUGCUUCACCCUCUUGCCAUGUUAACCAACAUUUAAUAUUGUUGAGUACAUAAACGAGAUCAAACUAAAUAACGUGUCGUGGUGCUUCGUCAAUAUGCAACUCGUUGCAUAUUGAUCUCCACUUAAUUUGUAGAACUGCUUGUGCACUUUGCCAUGCCAUGCUUCAUUAAAACGGACAUGCAUCAUACUCGUUUGUGCAUCGUGCCAUGUUGUUGUGUUGGUUAUUUACUAUGUUGUGUGCUUCUUUUCCGGUGAUUGCUUCUUCGGGUUAGUUCCGAUAACGUCGCGUUUGUGAGGAUCUGUUCAACUACGUCCGUUUGUCUUCUUCAUGGACUCGUUCUUCUUCCUUGCGGGAUUUCAGGCAAGAUGAUCAUACCCUCGAAAUCACUACUAUCUUUGCUAUGCUAGUUUGCUCGCUCUUUUGCCAUGCCAAUGCUACGAUGCCUACCACUUGCUUGUCAGCCACCCAAAUUGCCAUGUUCAACCUCUAACCCACCCUGUCCUAGCAAACCGUUGAUUGGCUAUGUUACCGCUUUGCUCAGCCCCUCUUAUAGUGUUGUUAGUUGCAGGUGAAGAUUGAAGUUUGUUCCUUGUUGGAACAUGGAGUUCGUUCCUUGUUGGAAUAUUGUUUACUUGUUGGGAUAUCACAAUAUAUCUUACUUAAUUAAUGCAUCUAUAUACUUGGUAAAGGGUGGAAGGCUCGGCCUUAUGCCUGGUGUUUUGUUCCACUCUUGCCGCCCUAGUUUCCGUCAUAUUGGUGUUAUGUUCCCGGAUUUUGCGUCCCUUACGCGGUUGGGCUAUAAUGGGAACCCCUUGACAGUUCGCCUUAAGUAAAGCUUCUCCAGCAAUGCCCAACAUUGGUUUUACCAUUUGCCACCUAGCCUUUUCUUUCCCUUGGGUUCUGCAGACUCAAGGGUCAUCAUUAUUUUACCCCCCGGGCCAGUGCUCCUCUGAGUGUUGGUCCACCUGUCAGCUACCGGUGGCUACCAGGGGCAACUCUGGGCUGGCCUACCCGUACCUAAGACAAUCUGAGUGUGCCCUGAGAAAGAGAUAUGUGCAGCUCCUAUCGGGAUUUGUCGGCACAUUCGGGCGGUGUUGCUGGUUUAGUUUUACCCUGUCGAAAUGUCUUGUUGUACCGGGAUACCGAGUCUGAUCGGAAUGUCUCGGGUGGAGGUCUAUUCCUUCGUUGACCGUGAGAGCUUGUCAUGGGCUAAGUUGGGACUCCCCUGCAGGGAUUGAACUUUCGAAAGCCGUGCCCGCGGUUAUGGGCAGAUGGGAAUUUGUUAACGUCCGGUUGUAGAAAACCCGAAGUUGACCUUAGUUAAAAUACAUCAACCGUGCGUGUAACCGUGAUGGUCUCUUUCCGGCGGAGUCCGGGAAGUGAACACGGUGUUGGAGUUAUGCUUGACGUAGGUAGUCCAGGAUCACUUCUUGAUCAUACUUUUAUCGACCGUGCUUUGCCUUCUCUUCUCGCUCUCAUUUGCGUAUGUUAGCCACCAUAUAUGCUAGUCGCUUGCUGCAGCUCCACCUCAUUACUCCAUCCUUCCUAUAAGCUUAAAUAGUCUUGAUCUCGCGGGUGUGAGAUUGCUGAGUCCUCGUGACUCACAGAUACUUCCAAAACCAGUUUGCAGGUGCCGAUGAGUUUGUGCAGUUGACGCAACCAAGCUCAGGAGGAGCUCGUUGAAGAUCUUGCCCUUUGUGUUGUUUCGUUCUAGUUGAUCAGUAGUGGAGCCCAGUUGGGGUCGAUCGGGGACCUUUGUCGCAUUUGGGGUUCUUCUUUUAUUUUGGUUCCGUAGUCGGACCUUGAUUGUAUCUGGAUGAUGUAAUGCUUUAUUCAUGUAAUUGUGUAAAGUGGCGAUUGUAAGCCAACUAUGUAUCUCUUUCCCUUAUGUAUUACAUGGGUUGUGUGAAGAUUACCUCACUUGCGACAUUGCCUUCAAUGCGGUUAUGCCUCUAAGUUGUGCUUCGACACGUGGGAGAUAUAGCCGCAUCGAGGGCGUUACAAAAGACUACAGGAAUGAAUAGAGUUGAGUAAGAGAUAGCAACUCACCCAGUUAGGGGGAUUGUACAUGGAAAAUCCAUCCUGUGGCUUAAUGCGGAUGAACUCCUCUUCUUCUCCUUUGUAUAAAUCAGACAGUAUUUUCGCCAGAGCGGUGGCGGAGUCCAGACCUUUCCGACUGCAGCGGGUGGCAUCAUCUUCUCCGUUGAAGUGCCACAUGGGACGCCCUCGAUACUGGAGUGGCCGCACCCCCCGCAUUAUGCAUAUUGACAUAACCUUGAUUAUUGUCAAUCCGGAUUGGGUAAGCGUUUUUAUCCUGCCCAUCAAUUGAAGGACCUCUCUGCUAUCUUCCUCCUUGGGGCUCCGAGGAUGCCAGCUAUGGUGUUUCUUCAACGGGUCAUUUGUGAACUCAGGAAGACUCAUUCGGAUAGGGUCAGGAAGGGAGACGUCCUCUAUAUAAAACCACUCGGAAGGCCAAUCUUCGGAUGUCUUCUUCGGAGUGCCGGACAGGUAUUCGGUCUCGGCGAUGCGCCAUAUUUCGGCUCCGCCCACUUGGAAUAUUGAUCCCUCUUGAUUGCGAGGGACGAGGCAGAACAACCUCUUCCAUAGCUCGAAAUGAGCUUCGCAACCCAGAAAUAACCCGCAAAGGGCGACAUAACCUGCGAUGUGCAGGAUGGAGGCAGGGGUGAAAUUGUGCAGCUGGAGGCCAUAGUACUCCAGGAGCCCGCGAAGGAACGGAUGGAUUGGAAAUCCGAUGCCCCUCAGCAAGUAAGGGACAAGGCACACUCGCUCCCCCCUGGAUGGGUUGGGAAAACUCUCUGCUUGCUCCCCGCCAUCAAAAGUGGCUAAUCCGGCUCGAACGGGGACAAGAUAUGCAGGUGGAAGAAACCCCUGGGUAUGCAACUUCACCAAUUGGCCAUGGGAUAUGGUACACUUCUCCCAAUCACCUGGCUUGGCGCUAUAAGGACGAGAUGAAGAGCUUUGACGACCGGCCAUGAUGGGAUGGUUUUUUCGGGCGCACUCUAAUGAAUCCUCGCUUGGGGAAGAUGGUGUGAUUUGGAUCUGAGGAUCCCCGUCUCUUUAAUAGACGAUUUAUUUACAUGGUUAGGGUGGCAAGUGUAAAAAUGCUCCGGCUCCUCGCAUUCACUCGACACAUGGAGGCUGACACUAUUAAGGUACAGAAGACGAUGAUUGCAACAUUAAAUGGGAAGUUGGACACUGCUCGUUACAACAGGUACUCUAGAGAAUUCGGAGAAGGAACCCGCCUUGCAAUGCCGAAGACAAUCUGCGCGCCGGACUCAUCGUCAUUGAAGCCUGGUUCGGGGGCUACUGAGGGAGUCCUGGAUUAGAGGGUCCUCGGACAGCCGGACUAGAUGCUUAUGCCGGACUGUUGGACUAUGAAGAUACAAGAUUGAAGACUUCAUCCCGUGUUCGGGUGGGACUCUCCUUUGCGUGGAAGGCAAUCUUGGUGAUUCGCAUAUGUAGAUUCCCUUCUAUGUAACUGACUCUGUGUAACCCUAGCCCCCUCCGAUGUCUAUAUAAAUCGGAGGGUUUAGUCCGUAGGAUGACAACAAUCAUAAUCAUAGGCUAGCUUCUAGGGUUUAGCCUCUACGAUCUCGUGGUAGAUCAACUCUUGUAAUACUCAUAUCAUCAAGAUCAAUCAAGCAGGAGGUAGGGUAUUACCUCCAUAGAGAGGGCCCGAACCUGGGUAAACAUCGUGUCCCCCGCCUCCUGUUACCAUUAGUCUUAGACGUACAGUUCGGGACCCCCUACCUGAGAUCCAUCGGUUUUGACACCGACACUUACCCAGUCUGCCAGACUAUAGCCGGAGCAACCCUUCGGGAUACUUAAUUGAGCAAAGUCUUCCCCCUCGCCUUUAAAUAGGUCAACUAGUAUUUUGGCCAUAGCUGCCUGGUUGUCCGGCCCUAGUCGCUUGUAGUGGGUUGCAUCGCUGGUCCUGUUGUAGCACCACAGAGGAUCUACCCACCGGGCUAUGGCGACGGCCAUCACUUCGAUCAUGGUCAGUUUACCAUGGGCCAACAGCCAAAUUUUGGUGGCCGAAAGGUGCACCUCCAUGAUGUCUAAUUGGGAAGGGCUCUUGGGUCGCUAGUUGAAUCGCUUCUUUAAUGGGGCACUAGAGUAUUUGGGCAGCCCCCUCCGGACUGGGUCAAAGAGGGGAACGUCUUCAAUAUAAAACCACUCUGAGAUCCAUUCCUCGGAAUCUUUUCAUGGGGUCCCGAUGGGAUACCCUGUCCCGGCUAUGCGCCAUACCUCUUCUCCACCUAGUUAAAAUAUUGACCCUUCACUAGUUCGAGGGACAAGGCAGAAGUAUUUUCUCCACAAAUCAAAGUGGGCUUCGCAGCUCAGGAAUAUCUCGCAGAGGGCCACAAACCUAGAAAUAUGCAGUAUGGACCCCGGGGUGAGGUUGUAAAGAUGGAUCCCAUAAAAUUCUAAUAAACCCCAUAAGAAGGGUGAAUGGGAAAGCCUAGGCCUCGUAGCAGGAAAGGCAUGAAACAUACUCUCUCUUCCUUGCUUGGAGCAGGGAAGUUCUCGGCGAAUGCUGGGCCAUCCAUGAAGAUCAAUCCAGCACAGAUGGAGACAAGAUCCGUUGCAGGGAGAUAUCCUUGCGUCUGUAGAUUACACAGUUGAAGGCGUGAGACGAAGCAGCUCACCUAGUCUCUUGGAACGGGACUGUGAGGUCGUGAAGAAGAUCCUGGGGCAUCGGCCAUGGUGCCUAAAAUUUCUCAAGCAUUGGCUUCUAGGGAAGGACGGGUCAGUCGUCCCCCGCAUUUUUGGAUCUAUAAAUAGGCGUUUCGUCCUAAAGUUGAAAGGACGGCUCUACAAAAUGGGGACAUUGGGCCGUUCGCCUUCUAAAAAGGUGCACAAUGGUCAAAGUUUGCCCUCGCCCGAGGAAAGCAUUAACUCCGAUGGCCCUGAUACGUCCAUUUUGCAUCAUGCUUUUAUAUCAAUAUUUAUUGCAUUAUGGGCUGUUAUUACACGUUACACAAUACUUAUGCCUAUUCUCUCUUAUUUUACAAGGUUUACAUGAAGAGGGAGAAUGCCGGCAGCUGGGAUUCUGGGCUGGAAAAGGAGCAAAUAUUAGAGACCUAUUCUGCACAACUCCAAAAGUCCUGAAACUCCAUGAAAGUUAUUUUUGGAAUUAAUAAAAAAUAUUUGGCGAAGAAAGUACCACAGGGGGCCCACACCCUGGCCAUGAGGGUGGGGGGCGCGCCCCCUGCCUCGUGGGCCCCCUGGCAGGCCUCCGGUGACCAUCUUCUGCUAUAUGAAGUCUUUUACCCUGGAAAAAAACCAUAAGCAAGUUUUCAGGAUGAAACACCACCGCCACAAGGCGGAACCUUGGCGGAACCAAUCUAGGGCUCCAGCGGAGCUGUUCUGCCGGGGAAACUUCCCUCUGGGAGGGGGAAAUCAUCACCAUCGUCAUCACCAUCGAUCCUCUCAUCGAGAGGGAGUCAAUCUCCAUCAACAUAUUCACCAGCACCAUCUCCUCUCAAACCCUAGUUCAUCUUUUGUAUCCAAUCUUUGUCCCAAAACCUCAGAUUGGUACCUGUGGGUCACUAGUAGUGUUGAUUACUCCUUGUAGUUGAUGCUAGUUGGUUUAUUCGGUGGAAGAUCAUAUGUUCAGAUCCUUAAUGCAUAUUAAUACCCCUCUGAUUAUGAACAUGAAUAUGAUUUGUGAGUAGCUACGUUUGUUCCUGAAGACAUGGGAGAAGUCUUGCUAUAAGUAGUCAUGUGAAUUUGGUAUUCGUUUGAUAUUUUAAUGAGAUGUAUGUUGUCUCUCCUCUAGUGUUGUUAUGUGAACGUCGACUACAUGAAACUUCACUAUUAUUUGGGCCUAGAGGAAGGCAUUGGGAAGUAAUAAGUAGAUGAUGGGUUGCUAGAGUGACAGAAGCUUAAACCCUAGUUUAUGCGUUGCUUUGUAAGGGGCUGAUUUGGAUCCACAUGUUUCAUGCUAUGGUUAGGUUUACCUUAAUACUUCUUUUGUAGUUGCGGAUGCUUGCAAUAGGGGUUAAUCAUAAGUGGGAUGCUUGUCCAAGAAAGGGCAGUACCCAAGCACCGGUCCACCCACAUAUCAAAUUAUCAAAGUAACGAACGCGAAUCAUAUGAGCGUGAUGAGAACUAGCUUGACGAUAAUUCCCAUGUGUCCCCGGGAGCGCUUUUCUCCAUAUAAGAAUUUGUCCAGGCUUGUCCUUUGAUACAAAAAGGAUUGGGCCACCUUGCUGCACUUGAUUUACUUUUGUUACUUGUUACGUGUUACGAAUUACCUUAUCACAAAACUAUCUGUUACCGAUAAUUUUAGUGCCUGCAGAGAAUACCUUACUGAAAACCGUUUGUAAUUUCCUUCUGCUCCUCGUUGGGUUUGACACUCUUACUUAUCGAAAGGACUAUGAUAGACGCCCUACACUUGUGGGUCAUCUAGACUCUUUUCUGGCACCGUUGCUGGGGAGUGAAGCGCCUUUGGUAAGUGGAACUUGGUAAAGAAAAAUUUAUAUAGUGUGCUGAAAUUUACUGUCACUUGUUACUAUGGAACAUAAUCCUUUGAGGGGCUUGUUCGGGGCAUCUUCACCCCGACCAGUAGAGCAAAGAGUUGCUCCUCAACCUACUGAACCUACCGAAAAUGUUUACUUUGAAAUUCCUUCGGGUAUGAUAUAGAAACUGCUAGCUAAUCCCUUUACAGGAGAUGGAACAUUGCAUCUCGAUUUACACCUAAUAUAUGUGGAUGAAGUUUGUGGAUUAUUUAAGCUUGCAGGUAUGCCCAGCGAUGUUAUCAAGAAGAAGGUCUUCCCUUUAUCUUUGAAGGGAGAGGCAUUGACAUGGUUUAGGCUAUGUGAUGAUAUGGGAUCAUGGAACUACAACCGAUUGAAAUUGGAAUUUCAUCAGAACUUUUAUCCUAUGCAUCUUGUUCAUCGUGAUCGUAAUUAUAUAUAUAAUUUUUGGCCUCGCGAAGGAGAAAGCAUCGCUCAAGCUUGGGGGAGGCUUAAGUAGAUGUUAUAUUCAUGCCCCAAUCAUGAGCUCUCAAGAGAAAUGAUUAUUCAAAAUUUUUAUGCUCGUCUUUCUCUCAACAAUCGCUCCAUGCUCGAUACUUCUUGUACUGGUUCUUUUAUGAUGAAGACUAUUGAAUUCAGAUGGGAUUUAUUGGAAAGAAUUAAAUGCAAGUCUGAAGAUUGGGAUCUUGACGAAGGUAAGGAGUCAGGUAUGACACCUAAGUUUGAUUGUGUUAAAACUUUUAUGGAUACUGAUGCUUUUCGUGAAUUUAGCACUAAAUAUGGACUUGACUCUGAGAUAGUAGCUUCUUUCUGUGAAUCAUUUGCUACUCAUGUUGACCUCCCUAAGGAGAAGUGGUUUAAAUAUAAUCCUCCCACUGAAGUAAAAAUAGUUGCACCUAUUAAAGUUGAAGAAAAGACUAUCACUUAUAAUGAUCCUAUUGUUCCUACUACCUAUAUUGAGAAACCCCCUUUCCCUGUUAGGAUAAAGGAUCAUGCUAAAGCUUCAACUAUGGUUCGUAAGAGUAAUACUAAAACACCUACACCACCUGAGCAAAUUAAAGUUGAACCUAGUAUUUCUAUGGUUAAAGAUCUCUUGGCUGAUAAUAUUGAUGGGCAUGUUAUUUACUUCUGUGAUGAAGCUGCUAGAAUUGCUAGACCUGAUACUAAGAAUAAACAUAGGCUUGUUGUGGGCAUGCCUGUUAUUUCUGUUAAAAUAGGAGAUCAUUGUUAUCAUGGCUUGUGUGAUACGGGUGCUAGUGCUAGUGCAAUACCGCAUUCCUUAUACAAAGAAAUUAUGCAUGAUAUUGCACCUGCUGAAAUAGAAGAGAUUGAUGUUACAAUUAAGCUUGCUAAUAGAGAUACUAUUUCACCAGUUGGGAUUGUUAGAGAUGUUGAAGUAUUGUGUGGGAAAGUGUAGGACCUUGAAGUAUGUCUAGAGGGGGGGUGAUUAGACUACUUAACCAAUUAAAAACUUAACCUUUUCCCAAUUUUAGAGUUUGGCAGAUUUUAGCUAUCUUAGGACAAGUCAAGCAAUCAUCACGCAAUUCAAGCAAGCAUGCAAAGAGUAUAUAGGCAGCGGAAAUUAAAGCAUGCAACUUGCAAGAAAGUAAAGGGAAGGGUUUGGAGGAUUCAAACGCAAUUGGAGACACAGAUGGUUUUGGCGUGGUUUCGAUAGGUGGUGCUAUCGUACAUCCACGUUGAUGGAGACUUCAACCCACGAAGGGUAACGGUUGCGUGAGUCCACGGAGGGCUCCACCCACGAAGGGUCCACGAAGAAGCAACCUUGUCUAUCCCACCAUGGCUGUCACCCACGAAGGACUUGCCUCACUAGCGGUAGAUCUUCACGAAGUAGGCGAUCUCCUUGCCCUUACAAACUCCUUGGUUCAACUCAACAAUCUUGUCGGAGGCUCCCAAGUGACACCUAGCCAAUCUAGGAGACACCACUCUCCAAGAAGUAACAAAUGGUGCGUUGAUGAUGAACUCCUUGCUCUUGUGCUUCAAAUGAUAGUCUCCCCAACACUCAACUCUCUCAUAGGUUUUGGAUUUGGUGGAAAGAAGAUUUGAGUGGAAAGCAACUUGGGGAAGGCUAGAGAUCAAGAUUCAUAUGGUAGGAAUGGAAUAUCUUGGCCUCAACACAUGAGUAGGUGGUUCUCUCUCAGAAAUGGUAAGUUGGAAGUGUAGGUUUAGUCUGAUGGCUCUCUCCACGAAUGAAGAGGAGGUGGAGGGGUAUAUAUAGCCUCCACACAAAAUCUAACCGUUACACACAAUUUACCAAACUCGGUGGGACCGAUUCAACAGACUUGGUCAGACCGAUUUAGCAAACCUAGUGACCGUUAGGAUUUUCGGUGGGACCGACAUGCAACUCGGUGAGACCGAUUUUGGUAAUAAGCUUUCCAGAGAGUUGGUCAGGUAAACUUGGUGGGACCGAUUUGCUCUUUUCGGUGAGACCGAAAUGUUACAAAAGGGAAACAGAGAGUUUACAUUGCAAUCUCGGUGGGACCGAUCGCUCACUUCGGUUAGACCGAAAUGUUACGAAGGGAAACAGAGAGAUUACAAUCCCAUCUCGGUGAGACCGAGAUCCCUAUCGGUAAAACCGAUUUGCCUAGGGUUUAUGGCAGUGGCUAUGACAUUUGAAAUCGGUGGCGCCGGAUAGAAAGAAUCGGUGUGACCAAUUUUGGAUUUAGGUUUAGGUCAUUUGUGGAUGUGAGAAAGUAGCUGAGGGUUUUGGAGCAUAUCACUAAGCACAUGAAGCAAGAGGCUCAUUAAGCAACACCUCAUCCCUCCUUGAUAGUAUUGGCUUUUCCUAUAGACUAAAUGUGAUCUUGGAUCACUAAAAUAUAGAAUGAAGAGUCUUGAGCCUUUGAGCUUGAGCCAAUCCUUUGUCCUUAGUAUUUUGAGGGAUCCACUUUCAUCAUCCAUGCCAUGCCAUUCAUUGAGCUUUCCUGAAAUAAUAGUCUUGGAAUAGCAUUAGCUCAAUGAGCUAUAUGUUGUUAUGAAUCACCAAAACCACCUAGGGAUAGUUGCACUUUCAAUCUCCCCCUUUUUGGUAAUUGAUGACAACAUAUAGAUCAAAGCUUCGACAAAUGAUAAUAAGAUUUAAAACAUCGUCGCUUUGAGAAGUAUGUGAUAAGCAAGAGCUCCCCCUAAAUUUGUGCAUAGUUUAAGAUUUGCUUUGGACUGCAAAUGUACAAGGAAUUAGGCUCAUGGGUUACUCUUCCAUGUCACAUACAUCUUGGUGGAGCGCUCAAAAUGAUAAAGAUUGAAUACAUGCACUCAUCACCAAGCAAAGUGAAUGAUCACAUAGGAUAGAUAAGAUAAUAUCAUCAAACAUGCAUAAGUGUAGCUUAUGAUCAAACACAUGAUCAUCAAUGUCUCACAAAAACAGCAUAGUAUCUCAAGCAAUCAAAAGGAAACAAAGUUUAACCACCAAAUCAAAGCAAGAGAGAAAAAAGAACAUCACUCUCUCUCUCUCGAAGCCUAUGAUCUAUACAUUUUUCUCCCCCUUUGGCAACAAGUUACCAAAAAGUUCAUAGAAAAUGCAUAGUGCUAGAUCGACUCUCAGGCUUGAUCUUCAGGUGGUGGUGUCCGGAUAACUCCAAGAACGAAGGCUUCAGUUGAAGUAGAUGGAGCUGGAGUUGAUGCUGGAGCUGGUUGCACUAGAGCUGUAGGAGCUGUAGCUGGUGCAGAUGAUGUGGCUCUAGUGUCUGGCACAGGCACUGUAGCUGACCUCUGAGCUCUAGGCACUCUGGAAAAAACAUUAGUGGUAGUCUUGCCCUGCCUUUCCUGCAUGUCAUCCUGUAGCUGCUCCACAACAGACUGAAUCUCAGUUACUUUGACAUCUAGAUCAUGGAAUUUGAGUUCCAUGAUUCUUUCCAAGCUCUCCUGAUUUUGAGUGAGGGUGGCCAAUCCCUUCUCAAUCCUCAGUGUUGAUGCUAUUAAGUAACCAAGCUGCUCCUGCUUGUUCUUCAAGAAAUACUCAGAUGCCUCCUCUUGAGUUGGCAUCCUGGUAGCCUUCUCCUUCCUUGCCUUCUCCUUCUUCUCUUGAGCUUGAACUGAUGAUGGAUCAUUCUCAUUCAUGACAACCUGAUUGUCCUCAAAGUCUGGAUAGAGGGGAAAAUGUCCCUUAUCCAAUUGAUAUUUGCCUGUGCCCAUCUUUGAGUUAAUCAACUCCUGAAUCUGAGGGCAUAUGCACAGCUCCUCUUCUGAUCUGCUGCAGUCCUCUUAAUGGUUUCAAUCAUAAGGCUCAUGACCUUAAAUUUCUGUGGCACAUCAAACAAAUGCAACAUGUUGAUUGCAUGCCCUCUAAUCAUGUUGUGGUCACCAGACUUAGGCAACAGAGUGUGCCUUAGAGCAUCUCCAACAGCUGCGCUAAGCGCCGCGCGCAAAAAUCCUAUUUGCCGCAUGCGCUUCGGCUGGUUUAGCGUGGCCGUCAGCGCUAGCUCCAGCAGCCGCGCUAUAAUGCAGCGCGCGCGCCGCUCCAGCAGAGCGCAAAAAUACAGCACGCGCGCCGCACAAACCACAUAUACAUUUAAAAGAAGAAGAGCAAAAAUGAUCAAACAAACAAAAUAAAUCAACAAUAAAUAGUUCAAUUUCGUUAUCAUUACAACUCAAACAAAUAGUUUAUCGUUCAGUACAACAAAUAAUGCAAUAAACACAACAAAUAGUUCAUGAACAAUACAAUGUCGAAUGCAGAAAUCAUGAUGCUCUUUGUCGUCCAUACCAUGCCCACCACUCUUCAAUCAGAUCAUUCUGAAGUUCAUUGUGCGUUGUGGGACGCCGAAUGGCAUGAUAGGAGGCAAUAAAACGGGCUACCCUUUCAGCCCUCCGUCGCACUCGCACGGGAUGUCCCAAGAGUUCAUACUGUGAGUAGUCUAAAUCUUGGCCACGCUCAUUCUCGACGAUCAUGUUGUGCAUGAUCACACAAGCGUGCAUGAUGUACCAAAGCAUUUUUUAUCCCAAAAUCUAGCCGGUCCUCUCACAAUAGCAAAUUGGGCUUGCAAAAUCCCAAAUGCUCUCUCCACAUCUUUUCUAGCCGCCGCCUGAGCAUUGUGGAAAUCAAGAUAUUUCUUACCUUCCGGCUUUUUCAACGGCUUCACGAAGGUUUGCCACUUUGGAUAGAUGCCAUCCGCUAGAUAAUAGCCAUAAUUGUACGUACGGCCAUUUUCUACAAACUACACAGGUGGCAACUCACCGUUUGCAAUCUUAUUCAUCAGUGGUGACCGGUUGACAACAUUUAUGUCAUUCAAAGAUCCAGGCAUUCCAAAGAAUGCAUGCCAAAUCCAAGUCUCCUGAUCGGCCACCGCUUCAAGGAUUAUAGUGGAACCCUUUUUUUGGCCAUGGAAUUGCCCAUGCCAUGCCUUUGGACAAUUCUUCCAACUCCAAUGCAUGCAAUCUAUUGAGCCAAGCAUGCCAGGAAAGCCGCGCUCUUUGUUCAUUGACAAUAGCCUUGUGGCGUCUUCAGCAGUGGGAGAUCUCAAAUACUCCUCGCCAAACACUUGCACAAUUCCCACUGCAAAGCGCUUGACACACAUGAUGGCUUGGCUCUCACACAUAGCCAAGUGAUCAUCAACUAGAUCAGCCGAGAUACCGUAUGCCAACAUACGCAAAGCGGCUGUCACCUUCAGAAAGGUGCUAUGCCCGAGCUCUCCGGCGGUAUUCCUCCUUUGCUGGAAAAACCGAUCAUAGCUCGCUAGUUUCUCUGCAAUGCGCCUGAACAAGUCGGUGCUCAUCCUAAACCGGCGACGAAAAUACGACUCCGGGUACGUGGGAUUCUCCAUGAAAUAGUUCUUCAUCAAUCUGUUAUGGGCAUCAAUCCUAUCUCUCCAAAUUUUCUCUCGACCCAUAACCGAACCACCGUGCUUCGGUUUUUUAUUGAUAUGCAUAGCUAGGAUCAUUGCAAGAUCCUCUUCCUCUUCCAUAUCAAAUUCUUCUUCGGAAGAAUCAAACGACGAACUCAUCUACAAUGUUCAAUACUAUACUAUAAAAACUACAAUUCAAAACAUGCACCAAAUUCAUGAAGUUUGAGCAAUACACACCUUGUAGGCGUUUUGUCGAACACCUUGCGGGCGCGGCGCGGCAGCGAGCGCUCGGGCACUGUUCCUCGGACGACGGAGGCGCGCGAGCGCUGGCGGGACUAGGAGGGGAUGGGGCGGAAGCGCGGCGGCGCGGGGAUAGGCCGGGGAAGCACCUGAACGGUCGCCGGGGUGCGCGGGCAGCGGCGGCGGCGCGGCCGGAUGGGGGUGGAAGUGGGAGAGGAAGUGCGAGAGCGAGCGCUCGAGUGUGCCGUGCGCUGUAGCGGGCGCCCGAAAUACAUCGCGGGGGGCAGUGUUUCCGACAGCGCGCCCAACUCGUUAUAGCGCGCACGUGGUUUUUGCGCGCCCGCUGGAGUGACCCGCCGCGUUGCGCGCGUGCUAAAACCGACUAAUUUACAGCGCGAUGCUAGUAUUGCGCGACUGUUGGAGAUGCUCCUAGGAUGCAGUUAAUAGUUGGCAGCCCUGACAGAAGGAAACGGACUGACCCAAACUUAUGUGUCUCAAUGGCUUUGUCUGGGAUCUCCUUGUACAUGUGUGCCAUGGAAUUGUGGUCCAUCUUCUUCUUGGCAUAGACAUCCAAGUCAUCUUCACUCUCCUUUGGGGCAUUUAUAAGUUUUGCCCACUCCUCAACAGUUGACUGGUACCUUGUACCUU
This 19010-nucleotide long non-coding RNA is filed under the name Triticum aestivum (bread wheat). Its description in RNAcentral is "long non-coding RNA (TAES_LNC022759)". The record is from RNAcentral. Lineage: Eukaryota; Viridiplantae; Streptophyta; Magnoliopsida; Poales; Poaceae.